RNAcentral lists this non-coding RNA (30 nucleotides) under Cricetulus griseus (Chinese hamster). Lineage: Eukaryota; Metazoa; Chordata; Mammalia; Rodentia; Cricetidae. The record is from RNAcentral.
AUCUUCAAAUCUUGAGUUUGUUUCUUGUAG